Molecule: long non-coding RNA, 2924 nt
Organism: Falco peregrinus (peregrine falcon)
Lineage: Eukaryota; Metazoa; Chordata; Aves; Falconiformes; Falconidae
Exons: 6
Source: RefSeq, a predicted model, not a curated record
GAGGAACAGAUGUAGCUUCCUUCUAUGGCGUGUUCGGUGACUCUUCUGCUCCUUGAUCCUAGUUGUCUCUGGGCCAACACACAGAAUAUUUUUGCAAACCAGGAGGAGGAGGAGGAGGGAGCUGUGUGCCCUAUUUGGGCAGUGUCUGCAUUGGUUCUAGGUGGGCUGUGGAGGAUGCAGGUAGGUAAGCAGAUACAGCUAUCUCCUGGGAAACAAAUCUCUGUGUGAGAAUCCUUUUCCAGCAGAGAAACAAACCUCUGUGGGUUCCUCAGUUUAUGUAGCAUUAACUUGCACAGUUCACAUUGAAAAGGAUGUUAAAACAGUUCUUAAAAAUAAUCAUAUAUAAUGAUUCUUUUCUCUGUCUUGAUGCUUUAAAAGUAAUUUAUUUGUCCUUAUUAGUUCAGGCACAACAUGGAACUGGGCUGAAUCUCCCUUUAAAUAAUCCUGCUCUCAGCUGGUUGCAUUGUUCACCCCAGUCUGUGUUGUGCAUUACUCCAUGGAAGAGAGCCUAUAGUAUUGGCUCCCUCCCUGCUCCAGACAGAUGGUAACUGCUUCUAUUCCCAAAACCUACCAAAUGAUCAUUAUUUACUUUGGACAUCUGUUAAAUGCUGAGCUGUCUGGGGAACAAAGUGAAGGAGCUGCAGUCCUGAUGGGAAUAUUGAAGGAGAGCAGUGAAACAGACUGAUCUCCCAACAAUUGGGCAUUGCAAGGGUUUUCUGCCUCUGCCGGUCAACGCUGGCUUGUGCCAUACCCAAGCAGAUUACUUCCAGUCCUAAAGGAGAAACUGUCCAGGUUUCCCAUGAAGAAGCUGAUCGAAUCCAUUUGAGCUGGCCACAUGGAUUGCAGAGUCAUUGUGUGGAAUACAAGACUUGCCUUCUCAAACCCAUGGAGAUGAAGCCAAUCAGAAAACUACCAGGUUUGGCCAGGAUUUCCAGGCAUUUGUCUGCAUGUGUACAAUCCAUGGUGGGGAGCGCAGGACCAGAGCAGGAGAGAUUGAAAGGAGAGCAAUUAGGAGAAGGGGUGAUGCCCACGGAGCAGUCUGGGCAGCUCAGCUGGAGCUGAAGGUAAGACGUGAUGGCAGGAAUACAAGAAAUGCCUGGGUAUCUGCAGCAUGGGAGGAGGAGGUUGUUUCGCCUCACGCAAACCAUGAAUGCCCUUGGGCCUCCUAGAGAUGGGCAGUGAACGACUGCACAGAGGUACACAGCAAGUGAACACCCUGGGCCCUGGGAGGCCAUUUCGUCUUUUACUUCACCCAGGUUGCCCAAUGUGUGAUGUAAGGACCCGGCUGCCUGCUGCCCCGCUCACCAGGACACCCUGGGCUGGAAGGGACUGCUUUGUGGAGCUGGUGGAGAGCACCAGUGCUCACCAGCUGUAGUCCUGGCCCACACUCCGCUUCAGCUGAGCAGGCAUCAAGGCGAGCUGCUGGGUGGGGAUGGGCGCAGCUGGCCCUGGUGGCAUGCUGGCACGGGGCAGCCCAACCGCAGAGUCCUCUUAGUGAGAGGGUUUGACCGUGCAGGGCUGCUCACAAGUCCAAAGCUUGGGGUCUGGUUCGGAGCCGGGGCACAGAAGGCAGCGAUGCUAUAUGCUGGCCAGGUCUUCCUAUUUCUAGUGUUCAGAAUCCCUUAUUAAAAGGUUAUAAACUGUGCAGUUGCUGUAGUGUCAAGAAUGUUUCUAAUGUUUUUAUUUCCUUUUUAAUUUAAUGGGAAAAUGCACUUUUUUUUAUUUCUGUAUUCCUUUUAUGAUUAGGGGAAACCCCAUCUAGUAUGUCUGAAUGCUUCAACCAUGAAAAUACUUAGUACCAGCUCUGGCAUAUUUAUGUUGGCUCCCUGAUUAGACAACGUGCCAAACUGUCCUUCGUGGCCUUAAUUAUUGCAACUUCAGGCCAGCAUUGCCUGCUUACAGCAUAAUCCCACGGCCUAGAGUGAACCCUGAAAAUGCUUAAUUAAAUGACAUUCCACAACAGAUUAAGGAGUCAGAAGCCUGAGAUAAAGGAAAAGGGAGACUGUGACCAUAGGAGUGGCAGGUGCUCUUCCCUUUCAAGAUAAAACUCCUGACAUGGACUGUUUCAUUUUGAGCACAUUAAAAACCGAAACAUUAAUUGGUAACAGUGUAGGGUCUGUGCUUGGCUUCUUGCGUUUUCAGUACAAAGUGAUUCAGAGACAUCUCAUCUUGGGCUGGUGUAUGAAAGGACUCUCACUGAUUUACAUCAGUGGAGGAUCUGCUCUGUGCUCAGCAUAAUUUGACUGUCUCCAUAAUAGUGUGUGAGUUAUGGCAUGAUCAUGAAGUCUGCUCAUGUGAGCAGGCGCUGCCAGCCAGGUCACAGAGCGUGGCUCGCAGUUCAUGUGGUGCUGCACCAGCUUUCCCCAGCCUGGAGCCUGGCGGUGCCAGGGAAGGGCUGCGGGGUGGACACCCUCCUGCAGCUUCUACAGCAGUGACCAGUGACGGUGCCCUUUGCUUUGGGCACCUGGAUGAGGCCCUUUGGCAAACGUGGUGGAUGCCUUUGCUUUGUGGUUCUGAAGUCCAGGCUGUGCAUCAGGGUCAUGCAUCAAAAAUCAGUUGCCUUUGUUUAAAUUUUUUUUAAAAAGAAAACCAAAAUCUCUUCUCUAUGUAAAAAGCUAGUGUGCAGUUAUUUGGAACAGACUUGAUAAUAUUGUGUUAGGGAGUCCCCGUGGGAGCCAAAGUCUAUGUGUAACCACAGAAGAUCAGCAUACAAAUACAAACACUGUAGAUAAUGGUAUAUUGCACAGAUUAGGGCUCAAAUCUUCAGCAAAUCUGUUCAGAGCAAAGAAAUGACAGCAAGUGGGGCAUAUGCAGCACACCGAGCACAUCUCAUUCACAGGCCCAUUGGUAAAGGCAGUUAUUUCUAAUACUGUGUUUUAUCAUAUUAUUCCUCAAUUAUUUGCUCUGACAGUUCUCUUGUCUUG